Molecule: transfer RNA, 75 nt
Filed under: Methanobacteriota archaeon
Lineage: Archaea; Methanobacteriati; Methanobacteriota
Description: Euryarchaeota archaeon tRNA-Arg
Rfam family: tRNA
About the family: Transfer RNA (tRNA) molecules are approximately 80 nucleotides in length.
Source: RNAcentral
GGGCCCGUGGCCUAGCCUGGAUAAGGCAACUGCCUCCUAAGCAGUGGAUCGCGAGUUCGAAUCUCGCCGGGCCCG